CAGUCGCCACGGGAAUACGUAGGGUGCGAGCGUUAAUCGGAAUUACUGGGCUUAAAGCGUGCGCAGGCGGUUCGUUAAGACAGAUGUGAAAUCCCCGGGCUUAACCUGGGAACUGCAUUUGUGACUGGCGAGCUAGAGUAUGGCAGAGGGGGGUAGAAUUCCACGUGUAGCAGUGAAAUGCGUAGAGAUGUGGAGGAAUACCGAUGGCGAAGGCAGCCCCCUGGGCCAAUACUGACGCUCAUGCACGAAAGCGUGGGGAGCAAACAGGAUUAGAUACCCCGGUAGUCCCUGUCUCUUAUAC
Molecule: ribosomal RNA, 301 nt
Filed under: uncultured bacterium
Lineage: Bacteria
Description: partial 16S ribosomal RNA
Rfam family: Bacterial small subunit ribosomal RNA
Source: RNAcentral